This 512-nucleotide ribosomal RNA is filed under the name uncultured Bacillota bacterium. RNAcentral's name for it is "bacterial SSU rRNA". It matches the Rfam family "Bacterial small subunit ribosomal RNA", at positions 355 to 857 of the family's 1533-position model. The record is from RNAcentral. Lineage: Bacteria; Bacillati; Bacillota.
UAGGGAAUCUUCGGCAAUGGACGAAAGUCUGACCGAGCAACGCCGCGUGAGUGAGGAAGGCCUUCGGGUCGUAAAGCUCUGUUGUUAGGGAAGAACAAGUACCGUUCGAACAGGGCGGUACCUUGACGGUACCUAACCAGAAAGCCACGGCUAACUACGUGCCAGCAGCCGCGGUAAUACGUAGGUGGCAAGCGUUGUCCGGAAUUAUUGGGCGUAAAGCGCGCGCAGGCGGUCUCUUAAGUCUGAUGUGAAAGCCCACGGCUCAACCGUGGAGGGUCAUUGGAAACUGGGGGACUUGAGUACUGGAGAGGAGAGUGGAAUUCCAUGUGUAGCGGUGAAAUGCGUAGAGAUGUGGAGGAACACCAGUGGCGAAGGCGGCUUUUUGGUCUGUAACUGACGCUGAGGCGCGAAAGCGUGGGGAGCAAACAGGAUUAGAUACCCUGGUAGUCCACGCCGUAAACGAUGAGUGCUAAGUGUUAGAGGGUUUCCGCCCUUUAGUGCUGCAGCUAACG